This 672-nucleotide ribosomal RNA is filed under the name Vibrio tubiashii. RNAcentral describes it as "bacterial SSU rRNA". It matches the Rfam family "Bacterial small subunit ribosomal RNA", at positions 112 to 776 of the family's 1533-position model. Lineage: Bacteria; Pseudomonadati; Pseudomonadota; Gammaproteobacteria; Vibrionales; Vibrionaceae. The record is from RNAcentral.
AAUGCCUGGGAAAUUGCCCUGAUUCCUCGGGGAUAACCAUUGGAAACGAUGGCUAAUACCGCAUAAUAGCUUCGGCUCAAAGAGGGGGACCUUCGGGCCUCUCGCGUCAGGAUAUGCCCAGGUGGGAUUAGCUAGUCACUCCGGUAAAGGCUCACCAAGGCAACGAUCCCUAGCUGGUCUGAGAGGAUGAUCAGCCACACUGGAACUGAGACACGGUCCAGACUCCUACGGGAGGCAGCAGUGGGGAAUAUUGCACAAUGGGCGCAAGCCUGAUGCAGCCAUGCCGCGUGUAUGAAGAAGGCCUUCGGGUUGUAAAGUACUUUCAGCAGUGAGGAAGGUGGUGUAGUUAAUAGCUGCAUCAUUUGACGUUAGCUGCAGAAGAAGCACCGGCUAACUCCGUGCCAGCAGCCGCGGUAAUACGGAGGGUGCGAGCGUUAAUCGGAAUUACUGGGCGUAAAGCGCAUGCAGGUGGUUUGUUAAGUCAGAUGUGAAAGCCCGGGGCUCAACCUCGGAAUAGCAUUUGAAACUGGCAAACUAGAGUACUGUAGAGGGGGGUAGAAUUUCAGGUGUAGCGGUGAAAUGCGUAGAGAUCUGAAGGAAUACCAGUGGCGAAGGCGGGCCCCCUGGACAGAUACUGACACUCAGAUGCGAAAGCGUGGGGGAGCAAACAGG